RNAcentral lists this long non-coding RNA (954 nucleotides) under Capra hircus (goat). RNAcentral's name for it is "lncRNA (ENSCHIG00010030380.1)". Lineage: Eukaryota; Metazoa; Chordata; Mammalia; Artiodactyla; Bovidae. The record is from RNAcentral.
GCUACCCACUCCAGUAUUCUGGCCUGGAGAAUUCCACGGACUAUAUAGUCUGUGGGGUCACAGAGAGUCUGACAUGACUGAGAUACUUUCACUUCACUUCACUUCACUUCUUUACCACUAGCAACACCUGGGAAGCCCCUUGGCCAACAGAGGAGACAGUCAGUUGAUUUGGAGAAAUUGUACCAAGUUUGGGUCCGCCAAUUUGUAACCAUGAAGUAGACCAGUUGACCACAUUGCAGAAUGGAAACCCACACCUGGAACUUCUCCAGGUCACAUUCAGCAAGCAAGACACACUGGUCAAUAUGAAGGCCUCUUGCAUUGGAUUUGGCUUCUGAUUCAUCAUCUUCAGCGUCAGGAUAAUUACGGAUUUGCUUUCAACAGCGGAUUCAUAUAUCCAGUGGGUCAUUAACUCCAUUUCAGUGACACUCACUAAACACCUUCAUUGAGCUUACUGUUCUGACAGGCACUGUAGAAAACAUGGUCUCUUCAGGCAAUAAAAUCUAAUUUAUUUAACUUGUCAUAUUAUUGUAAUUUAGAUGUAUUUCCUAUAGUUUGCUCAUUUUAUCUUUCAUUUCUCAGUUUUUUGAAACAUCAGAGCAAUAAGUGGUGCAAUAGCUGCUUAGUAAAUUUUUUUAUGCACAUUAUUCUUCUGCUUAUGAAUUUGUAAACUAAUCAGUUCAUAUGCUAAUCUGCUAUGGAUCUGUGUUAUUUAAUUAAAUCUGAAAAUAGUAUAUUAAUAUUUAUCAAUGUUUAACUGACUAAAGUCAACCUUAUAUAUAUAUUUAAAUUAAGUAUCACUGUAAACAAUGGAACCAUAAAAAAUUCCUGAACAUUUUGGGUCAGAUUUUUCAAAUCUGAGAGGAAUGAAAAGCUCGGGUUAUCAGCAGUAAUCUUUUAAAACUCAGGGUGCUUGAAGGCCAGCCAAAAUUAUAAUGAGCUUGAAGCAAAUUAUCU